Sinocyclocheilus grahami is the source of this 838-nucleotide non-coding RNA. The record is from the annotation of a RefSeq genome assembly. NCBI's taxonomy places the organism in Eukaryota, Metazoa, Chordata, Actinopteri, Cypriniformes, Cyprinidae.
GAGGGAAAUUAUAUCUCAGACAGCAUUCGCUCACACACACAACAUAUAUAAAGAAAUUCAAUGAAACAGAAAAGAAAUGAACAAGAAUAGAAAGGCGACUAGUGUGAUUAUCAUUAUUACCUCACUUCUUCUGCAUUACAGCAUUGCUUCAGGUGAGAAGGACACAAUGAACCAGAUGUUUAGCAGAGGACUUCGACUUAUUGUGGAAGUUCCUCACAUCCGUGUUGAACGCCAGGUGACUCCGAAAGUGCAUGUUCUUCUCCCUGCUGGAGGUCAGAAGCAGCGAUCAGAGAGUGUGACGCUGGCGUGUGUCAUCACCGGCUUACAGUCUAAAGCGCUGAGGAUCACAUGGAAGGUAAACGGAGCCACAGGUCUGAAAAAACACGCCAGCUCUCCACAAGUGCACCGAGAGCCUGGAGGCACAUUCUGGGCUGUGGGACUGCACUCGGUUCUGGCUCAUAAAUGGAGUGCUGAGAAUAAGUACAGGUGUGAGGUGACAUACAAAGCGGCGUUUCACUAUGAUAAGGCAGAGUCGUCUCUCUGCAGUCAGAAGCAGCGAUCAGAGAGUGUGACGCUGGCGUGUGUCAUCACCGGCUUACAGUCUAAAGCGCUGAGGAUCACAUGGAAGGUAAACGGAGCCACAGGUCUGAAAAAACACGCCAGCUCUCCACAAGUGCACCGAGAGCCUGGAGGCACAUUCUGGGCUGUGGGACUGCACUCGGUUCUGGCUCAUAAAUGGAGUGCUGAGAAUAAGUACAGGUGUGAGGUGACUUACAAAGCGGCGUUUCACUAUGAUAAGGCAGAGUCGUCUCUCUGCAGUCCUCCUGAGGGACUGUAA